This 1277-nucleotide ribosomal RNA is filed under the name Longitarsus pratensis. RNAcentral describes it as "16S ribosomal RNA". The record is from RNAcentral. Lineage: Eukaryota; Metazoa; Arthropoda; Insecta; Coleoptera; Chrysomelidae.
UUAAAAAGAUAAUUGGUAUCAAUUUAAUUUGAAAUAAAAAUAUUAUUUAAAUUUUUAUUUAAUUAAUUUUUAAAAAAAAUAAUUUAAAUUUUAUUAUUAUAAUAAGAAAAAAUUAAUGUUAUUAUAGUUUAUAGUAUUGUGAAAGAAUAUUUAAAUUAUUUUAUAGAAAAAUUUAUUUUUUGUACCUUGUGUAUCAGGGUUUAUUAAAAUUUUUUAAAAAUUUAUUAUUCUCGAAUUUAAAAGAGCUAAAAAGUUAUUUUUAUUAAUGUUGAAUAAUUAUAUAAAAUAAUUUUUUUGUAAUGAAAUGUUAUUCGUUUUUAAAUAUAUCUAGUUUUUUAAGAAAUAAAUUUAAUUUUUUUAUUAUUAAUAUAAUUUUUAAUUUUUAAUAUUAUAUUUAUAAUAAUUAAUAUUUUUAGGGAUUAGCUUAAAAAUAUAAUUUUAUUAAAAUAAAAGUUUUAUUAGAUUUUUUAGGGUUAGAAAUUUUCAUAAUUUAAAGUAUGUUAUAAUUUAAUUUUAUUAUUUAUAAUUUUUAUUUUUUAUAGAUUUUAUAUUAAAAUGUAAAUUUUAAUUUAAUAAAUUUAGUAAUAAUGAUAAAAUUAGUAUAAUUUUUUUUAUAAAUAAAAAAUAAUUAAAUGUUAAUUAAAGGAAUUCGGCAAAUUAAUUUUCACCUGUUUAAUAAAAACAUGUCUUUUUGGUAUUAAUUUAAGGUUUAGCCUGCCCGAUGAAGAUUUGAAUGGCCGCAGUAUUUUGACUGUGCUAAGGUAGCAUAAUCAUUAGUUUUUUAAUUAAAAGCUGGAAUGAAGGGUUGGAUGAAAAAUUAACUGUCUCUAAUUAAUUUUAUUAGAAUUUUAUUUUUAAGUUAAAAAGCUUAAAUUUAUUUAAAAGACGAGAAGACCCUAUAGAGUUUAAUAUAUUUAAUUUUGUAGAUAUUUAGAAUUUAUUUUUUAUAUUUAUAGUAUAUUUAAUUGGGGUGAUUAAAAAAUUUAAUAAACUUUUUUUAAAAAUUUAUAUUAAUUAAUAAAUAUAUGAUCCAAUGAUUUUGAUUAUAAGAUAAAUUACCUUAGGGAUAACAGCGUAAUUUUAUUAGAGAGUUCAAAUCGAAAAUAAAGUUUGCGACCUCGAUGUUGGAUUAAAAUUAAUAUUUGGUGUAGAAGCUAAAUAUUUUAAGUCUGUUCGACUUUUAAAAUUUUACAUGAUCUGAGUUUAAACCGGUGUAAGCCAGGUUGGUUUCUAUCUUUAAAUAUUUAUAAUAUUUUAGUACGAAAGGACCAAAUAUU